AUUGGACGCUGGCGGCAUGCCUUACACAUGCAAGUCGAACGGCAGCGCGGGAGCAAUCCUGGCGGCGAGUGGCGAACGGGUGAGUAAUACAUCGGAACGUGCCCAAUCGUGGGGGAUAACGCAGCGAAAGCUGUGCUAAUACCGCAUACGAUCUACGGAUGAAAGCAGGGGAUCGCAAGACCUUGCGCGAAUGGAGCGGCCGAUGGCAGAUUAGGUAGUUGGUGAGGUAAAGGCUCACCAAGCCUUCGAUCUGUAGCUGGUCUGAGAGGACGACCAGCCACACUGGGACUGAGACACGGCCCAGACUCCUACGGGAGGCAGCAGUGGGGAAUUUUGGACAAUGGGCGAAAGCCUGAUCCAGCCAUGCCGCGUGCAGGAUGAAGGCCUUCGGGUUGUAAACUGCUUUUGUACGGAACGAAACGGUCUUUUCUAAUAAAGAAGGCUAAUGACGGUACCGUAAGAAUAAGCACCGGCUAACUACGUG
This 484-nucleotide ribosomal RNA is filed under the name uncultured bacterium. Its description in RNAcentral is "partial 16S ribosomal RNA". It matches the Rfam family "Bacterial small subunit ribosomal RNA", at positions 30 to 507 of the family's 1533-position model. The record is from RNAcentral.